Long non-coding RNA from Zonotrichia leucophrys gambelii, 430 nucleotides. RefSeq lists it as uncharacterized. The transcript has 3 exons. The record is from RefSeq and is a predicted model, not a curated record. NCBI's taxonomy places the organism in Eukaryota, Metazoa, Chordata, Aves, Passeriformes, Passerellidae.
CUGCCCCUCGCCUCUCUUCCCCUCAAGUUUGAAUUGCCAUUUGGAAAAGGAAGGGUCUUUUGGAAAUUGGAGGUAAACACCUCGCCGGCAUUUUUGAAUGGAAGGACCAUUUUCAAAGGACACUACUGAGAGAUGCUGUCAAAUUUUUGUUUCUUUUCCCAGAAUUUGCAAAUUAAACUCUUUAUAACUGCAUAUCUCAUCAGGAAAGUAAAAAUAUUGAAUACCAAGGUUUUUUUCUCUCUCUCGCUUAAGAACAAGAAUGAAUUUUUCAACGUCCAGAAGAUUUCUAGCUUUCCCCUGAAUGCUCUGCUCAGCAUCAAGGCAAAUCCCAAGUUAAGCUAUCAGAGACAAAAACCAAGACCUUAUCUAAAACUUUCCUUCAGAGGAGUCAAAGCAUUCAGUAAACAUUAACAAGUUGAAGUAAUUCUCU